AGUAUUACGACGCGUACGGUGCCAGGCGCUGGUUUCGAAAAGUGCGUCGGUUUUUUGAAAACAAACUUUCGAUUUUACGUGACCGUUAAAACGACAGUUACAAUUUUUUUUUUAUAGAAAAUUUAGUGAUUCGUUUUAUGGUGUUUUUGUUUGUGAGUGUAUCUGUGACAAACAAUAUUGAUAUUUGGAUGUUUUUGUAUAGUGUGCGUUCAUGGAUGUUCUAACGAAUAUGAAAAACCAGUGAUUUGUUCGAUUUUUCAAAUUCUAUUGGAUUACAUCGUAAAUUCGGUGCAUUUUUAUCAGUUUUUUCGAGUUUUCACCAUGAUCGGACAGGAAUAAUUGAUAGGUGAGUCACAAAUAGAACAAAUCAAAUAAUUCAAUAUUAAAAUCGAGCUUCACUGUCUUUUUUGUUUAUUUCCAUGAAAUAUGUCGAGAUUUGCAUUGUUUUCGAAGUGUUUCCAAUUUUCAAAUUAUCUCGUUCGAAUGUUUCAUAGAACUUAAUUAUGUUUUAUGAGAAUUUUUUUGAAUAACAACACUUUCUUAUAAUGCAUAUAUAUUUUCGUUCAAAAAUUCCAUAUGGAAUUGAUAAAAAAUCUUCAAAUUUUGAUGAAAACACUCCCUCUGUUUAACACUCACAUUUCCUGAGUUGACAGUGAAAUCAUUCAAAUGCUAGUACGAGAAAUGUCAGUCACAACAUCUUCAUAAUUCCAAGUUUUUUUUUAUUUCCCGAAAACUCUUCGACAACAUUUUUGAAUAACUUACAAGAAGCUUUUUCAUUGACCGACUUUCAAACUGAUCUUACGUAUCUGAGUGCCAACAAAUGUUUCCAGUUUCAGUUUCUACUCAUUUGAACAUAAUAACUAGACAUGAGUCACUCUUGAGUCACUAUAAAUUAACAGACGGUACUAUUAGCUAGAAACUUGUAGCGCCCUCUGUGAAAUCCAUCGUUCCUGAGAUACAACUUCACAUAAUACAGGAUGUUCUACCGGAAGUCGACUGUGACUUUUUUACUUUAAAUAGAACGUAAUCUACGUAAAAUUUUAGUAUACUUUUGUCUAAAAACUUUUUUUGAAAAAUGCAUACUUUUCGAGUUAUUAAUUUUUUUGUAAAAAAUUUGACAGUUGCAGAUCCUUAUAAAUUAUUUUUUUACGAGGACACCCUUAACGAUAUGAAAAUGGUUUCUGUUCGAUUACUUUUAGCAAGGUCAGAUGUAUUUGAUUCUUUGUUGAAAAAUUUUUCAUUCUAUACAGUGUGUGUAUAAAAAGUGUUGAAAGUUUAACUUCAUAAAUAUCAAAUUUCUUUUUUUUUUAAAUAGAACUACUCGGUUUUUUAUAUUUUAAUAUAUUUAGAGGUAAAAAAUAAGGCAAAUUCAUGUAUACUUUCCUGCAUUACAAUAGAAAAUGUGAUUCUAUUAAAAAAAAUGAAGAAAUUUGAUAUUUAUGAAGGUAAACUUUGAACAAUUUCUAAACACAUCCUGU
Molecule: long non-coding RNA, 1478 nt
Organism: Diorhabda carinulata
Lineage: Eukaryota; Metazoa; Arthropoda; Insecta; Coleoptera; Chrysomelidae
Exons: 2
Source: RefSeq, a predicted model, not a curated record